UAGGGAAUCUUCCACAAUGGACGCAAGUCUGAUGGAGCAACGCCGCGUGAGUGAAGAAGGUUUUCGGAUCGUAAAGCUCUGCUGUUGGUGAAGAAGGAUAGAGGCAGUAACUGGUCUUUAUUUGACGGUAAUCAACCAGAAAGUAACGGCUAACUACGUGCCAGCAGCCGCGGUAAUACGUAGGUGUCAAGCGUUGUCCGGAGUUACUUGGCGGAAAGCGAGCGCAGGCGGAACGAUAAGUCUGAUGUGAAAGCCCACGGCUCAACCGUGGAACUGCAUCGGAAACUGUCAUUCUUGAGUGCCGAAGAGGAGAGUGGAAUUCCAUGUGUAGCGGUGGAAUGCGUAGAUAUAUGGAAGAACACCAGUGGCGAAGGCGGCUCUCUGGUCUGCAACUGACGCUGAGGCUCGAAAGCAUGGGUAGCGAACAGG
This 429-nucleotide ribosomal RNA is filed under the name bacterium. Its description in RNAcentral is "partial 16S ribosomal RNA". It matches the Rfam family "Bacterial small subunit ribosomal RNA", at positions 355 to 776 of the family's 1533-position model. The record is from RNAcentral.